CAAUAGCGUAUAUUAAAGUUGUUGCAGUUAAAAAGCUCGUAGUUGGAUUUCUGUUUUCUGUUACAGGUCCGCUCAUGUAUUUGAGUGCGUACUAUGUUUCAGAAUUCAUUUUUUGUGAGGAUCCUUGGCUGGCAUUAAGUUGCCUGGCCUUGUGUACUUGCAUCUUUUACUGUGAAAAAUUAGAGUGUUUAAAGCAGGCGUUCGCUUUAUUUGAAUACAUUAGCAUGGAAUAAUAAGAUACGACUUGUGUGGUCUAUUUUGUUGGUUUGCACACGCGAGUAAUGAUUAAUAGGGACAGUUGGGGGUAUUUAUACUUCAGCGUCAGAGGUGAAAUUCUUGGAUCGCUGAAAGAUAAGCUUAGGCGAAAGCAUUUACCAUGGAUGUUUUCAUUAAUCAAGAACGAAAGUUAGGGGAUCGAAGACGAUUAGAUACCAU
Molecule: ribosomal RNA, 435 nt
Filed under: uncultured eukaryote
Lineage: Eukaryota
Description: SSU rRNA
Rfam family: Eukaryotic small subunit ribosomal RNA
Source: RNAcentral